GGAGGAGGACCGACAGAUGAACGGAUGACCUGCUUGCUGGGCUUCCCAUUCCUGAUUAUUAGACAUGAGGACCACUGACUGGUGAGGGAAUUUGCCCUAUGAUGGAUGAGCCUGUCUCAAGCUGCCAUAAGCUGGGAGGACCGACGGUUGACUGACCCUGCCUGCUUGGUUGGCCAUUACCGAUUCUUGAGAAGAUGAGGACCGCCAAGCUUGGAUGAGACUGGAAAAUUACGAAGCUGCUCUAUGUGGACAAGGAUGCCCUCAUUAGACACUUUCCAAUUUGCGGAAUAUUGGAUCCAAAAUCAGACUGCAUAUUAUUUUGCAUUAUUAUAAAACAUAAAAACGACGAAAAUACGAAUUCUUACGCCAAGUUACCGCUAUAAUUGGAAGAAAUAAUAGCUUAAAUCACUGUUACUUGUUAACUUUACUGAGAUACCUAUACCUGAAAUAUUUGACAACGAGUACGACGAAAAUUGAAGGAAAAAAGUCAAAUGUGUGUAAAAUACAUUGCAGUGAAAAUCAAAUCAUGAGCGGAUUUUCUUCUCACAGAAAUGCUUCUCCGCUUCCAAUAAGUGGCUGAGAAAAUGAUGAAAUUUACGCCGAAAAUAACUAAAAUCAGUGUUGUUUUUACCUUUACUGCGAUACCUACCCGAAAUAUUUGACUAAACGCGUGUGACGAAACGUGGAAACAAAAUCAAAUCAGUCCAAAUUAAAUUACAACGAAAAUCACAUAGUACGUGGAGUUUCUUCUCGCGGCACGGCACUCUGUUUCUACAGGUAGCUACAGGAAAAUUACGAAAAUUACACCGAAAAUCAACGCGGCAUAUAAGUGAAGUGACGAAACAUAGUUUACACGGCUAAAAAAUCACAGCGUUAGUGAGAGAAAUAAUACUUGAUAUCAGUGUUAUUUUUCUUACCUACAAAGUAAAAAAAAUUCGAUUGCGGAAGAAUGAAAUCAAAGAGACGAAAAUUGCGGUAAAAAGAUUAACAGAGGCAGCGAAAGAAAUAAAUAUUUGAAAUCGGUAAUUUUCUAAACUUCUAGGCCCUAUGUCAUGCAAAAAUUUGCUAAGGAAAAAUGACCGAAAUAAUGUUAACAAAAAACUUUCCAAUUAUAAUCGGCAGCCACUUCUGGUACGGUACUACACUGCUUAAAAAAGUCGGAAAGCGAAUUUUGAUAAAUGGUGGGGAAAAUGACGGAAAUUAAGGAAAAACUCCAUUAUAUCGAUGUAAAGAAAAUUACUGAAUUUCAAUUAAAGCAACAAUAUUAAAGGCAUUCCCCCCGAGUUCUAGGCCUACACCACAUCUUUUAAGUAUUAUUCGUCAGCAAAAAUAACUGCAAUUUGUGACAUUGUCAAGAUGUUUGCCUUCAAAAAAGCCAGAAAUAGCCAGGUUAUGCAUGUGAAAGGGUACAACUUAAGUGUAAUCAACAAAGCGAUAGGGAAAAUGGCUGUAUAAGACAUGCGACAUAUUUACUAUCGCAUACGACAUUUCUUCGUGUUUUUGUAAAUGUUUAAACUUAAUCUACAUCAUUUAUGUGAGUCCGAUUUGGAAAGAUCGGCAGGGAUACAUGUUUUUAUCAAGUAUAUAUUUCUCCUUUGAGUUACUCAUUUGGUUGUCUUAUUUUGACCUUUGAUAACGUAUAAGGCCGACAGUGCUGUUUUAUUGAAGGGGAGAACACGAAAACCAUAACGGAAAAAGCGUUGCAGUAGUUAAAGAGAUCGGUCUAAUAUAGACUUUCACGAUCAAAUCUUUGUGGGCUACGAGUAUACCGUACUUAACGAAAAUUUCAAAAGAAAGCAUUUCAAGAUAUGCGACAGGUUUAAAGUAACAUAGAAAACUACUAUUUCCUUGUUGAUUUUAGCCUACGUGUAACCCUCCUUCCGUAUAGUACUAUGUUCAAUGUAAGUCUGAUUUGGAAGGGAUCGGCAAGGAUUAAGAUGGCAUUUUGUCAUCUUAAUGUCACGUGAAUUUCUUUUAAUGGUUGUUUAUAGUGUGCGAGUUAUAUGCAGUUUCCAAAGCAACCUGCCAUUAUCAGCGUCAGCACAUUAUGACAAAGUAAUCGUAAUCGUGAAAUAAUGGAAACAUGGGUAGAAUCGUUUGGUUUCCAUUGGAUCCUACCCAUGACCUGGUUAUAGGUAGGCUUAGACAUAAUUAUUGGCUACAUUUGCAAUGUUUCACUUCAGUAACAAAUGGGCUACUAGGCCCAGUGUUUUCGUACCCCUGUCCACUUAGGAAAGAGUUGCAGCUUUCAUCAAAGAAACUGAUGAUCUAAAAGUUGAGACAGACUGGAUAAGCUAGGCUGCUUUGUCUGGACGAAAAUGAACCCUCCAAGGCUCCAACAGCCUCAUCACACAUAAACUCGAGGAACCGAGACAAAACUAGCUUGCACAAUAUGAAAUGAUAAAUUAGACUGCAUAAUGCAACGUCAUUAAUGUUAUACACUAAGGCAACAACACUAAAAUAAAAUGAAAAGUAAUUUUGAUUUCAUUAAAUUAUUUAUGCCUCUAAAAUAAUCUUUAACCGGACACUGCAACAGACAGUUAACAAUGGACAAUAAUGGAAACUUGCUGAAAAAAUUAUUGUAAGGGUAAUAAUUUGUCACUGGCUUUUUAGCAGUGACAUGUCUGGGAGAAGGGAUGUUCCUUUGAUCUGUCCUUGGUCAUCCAAAAUUAUUGCAUCAAUAUGUUAAUAAUUUCAUACUCCUUACCUUUAAUGCAUUCAAUUGGAUCUUCUCGGUAAAUUAUAAACGAGGUCUCGCCUAAGGCUUUCUAUUUGCUUUUUGUUUAGUUGACAAUGGAGAAUUUUGCUCUAUCAAUUUAAUUUGAUAUUAAAAGUGCAUUUUUAAGAAAACCAAUUUAAGUCAUAAGAGUUUUGAAAGAUUUCAAAAAGGAUUUAUUUAUUGUUUAAAAACUGAAGAAAUGUAACAAACUUUAUUUAAAUGUAACGUCUUUAACAAGACGUCGGUUUAACUAAAACGUGACUUUCUUUCCAUUGUAUAUUUAUUAGAAAACACAAGAACGUUUAAUUUUUAGGAAAAUUUAAAGAAUAAACUGUUCAGGAACUUCUAUCCAUCAAAAUGCAUUGCAACAGGUAUAAGUGACACUCAAAUUACACUUGUGUUUGUCCUUUUGUGAUUUAUUUCAUUGCACUUUUUUCACUUGUUAUAUUUUUUUACUUCGUAUGCACAAUUGUUUUUUUUGGUGGUUUUGCAUGUCUUUUCAUUUUCUUAUUAAUAAUUAACUAACCUCACAAAAGGAUAAACGCAAUAUAUAUCGAGUGUUGAACUUGCUUCGCAUCAAAUAUUUUUUUCACAUAAUAGCUAAAUUAGAUAAACUAUAGUCCUGAAAUGUUUCAAAAUAAUCUAGGAUUUUAUUUGGUGGGGGGGGGGGCAUUCCCAAGUUUUAUCUUCCCUUUUAAAAAUCUUAUUCACAAAAUGGCGAAAUACAAAAACCUGGCUUUACCGUGUACAGUCAUGUAGUCGUUGCUUAUGUAAUAAUCAUCUAUGAUAUAAAGUGAUUAUUAAUUUCUAAAAUUUAUUGGCCUUCUGCCCAACUUUUUUCCUCAUUUGGAAUCGUUGUAUUUGUUUGUAUGAAUUGGUUUAAAUAUUUGUAUGUCAAAAAGACUAAGGAAUUAAACAAAAUAAAUAAAACUUGAAAGAUGUGAGACAU
Molecule: long non-coding RNA, 3668 nt
Filed under: Patiria miniata (bat star)
Lineage: Eukaryota; Metazoa; Echinodermata; Asteroidea; Valvatida; Asterinidae
Description: uncharacterized LOC119738153
Source: RNAcentral